AAUCUGCCUUCAGGAUGGGGACAACAGUUGGAAACGACUGCUAAUACCCGAUAUGCAGCGAUGUGAAAGAUUUAUCGCCUGGAGAUGAGCUCGCGUCUGAUUAGCUAGUUGGUGUGGUAAAGGCGCACCAAGGCGACGAUCAGUAGCUGGUCUGAGAGGAUGAGCAGCCACACUGGGACUGAGACACGGCCCAGACUCCUACGGGAGGCAGCAGUGGGGAAUUUUCCGCAAUGGGCGAAAGCCUGACGGAGCAAUACCGCGUGAGG
RNAcentral lists this ribosomal RNA (266 nucleotides) under uncultured bacterium. Its description in RNAcentral is "partial 16S ribosomal RNA". It matches the Rfam family "Bacterial small subunit ribosomal RNA", at positions 123 to 406 of the family's 1533-position model. The record is from RNAcentral.